AGUGAAUGCUGGCGGUAGGCCUAACACAUGCAAGUCGAACGGCAGCACAGUAAGAGCUUGCUCUUACGGGUGGCGAGUGGCGGACGGGUGAGGAAUACAUCGGAAUCUACUUUUUCGUGGGGGAUAACGUAGGGAAACUUACGCUAAUACCGCAUACGACCUACGGGUGAAAGCAGGGGACCUUCGGACCUUGCGCGAUUGAAUGAGCCGAUGUCGGAUUAGCUAGUUGGCGGGGUAAAGGCCCACCAAGGCGACGAUCCGUAGCUGGUCUGAGAGGAUGAUCAGCCACACUGGAACUGAGACACGGUCCAGACUCCUACGGGAGGCAGCAGUGGGGAAUAUUGGACAAUGGGCGCAAGCCUGAUCCAGCCAUACCGCGUGGGUGAAGAAGGCCUUCGGGUUGUAAAGCCCUUUUGUUGGGAAAGAAAAGCAGCAGGUUAAUACCCCGCUGUUCUGACGGUACCCAAAGAAUAAGCACCGGCUAACUUCGUG
Molecule: ribosomal RNA, 492 nt
Filed under: uncultured bacterium
Lineage: Bacteria
Description: partial 16S ribosomal RNA
Rfam family: Bacterial small subunit ribosomal RNA
Source: RNAcentral